GCUUGUCUCAAAGAUUAAGCCAUGCAUGUCUCAGUAUAAGUUUGUACAUGGCGAAACUGCGAAUGGCUCAUUAAAACAGUUAUCGUUUAUUUGGUGGUUGUUUACUACAUGGAUAACCUUGGUAAUUCUAAAGCUAAUACAUGCGCAAAAGCCUGACUUAUUGGAAAGGCUGCGUUUAUUAGAUCCAACCAGCCCGGUUCGCCGGAGUCCCUGGUGAGUCAUAAUAACUGAGCGAAUCGCAUGGCCUUGUGCCGGCGAUGGUUCAUUCAAGUUUCUGCCCUAUCAGCUUUCGAUGGUAGGGUAUUGGCCUACCAUGGCGUUAACGGGUAACGGAGAAUUAGGGUUCGAUUCCGGAGAGGGAGCCUGAGAAACGGCUACCACAUCCAAGGAAGGCAGCAGG
This 400-nucleotide ribosomal RNA is filed under the name uncultured fungus. Its description in RNAcentral is "partial small subunit ribosomal RNA". It matches the Rfam family "Eukaryotic small subunit ribosomal RNA", at positions 30 to 432 of the family's 1831-position model. Lineage: Eukaryota; Fungi. The record is from RNAcentral.